This 29-nucleotide unclassified non-coding RNA is filed under the name Microsporidium sp. 1_SPb. RNAcentral's name for it is "16S-23S ribosomal RNA intergenic spacer". The record is from RNAcentral. Lineage: Eukaryota; Fungi; Microsporidia.
UGAAUGUUAGGGUUUUAUAUUGGUUUGUA